RNAcentral lists this ribosomal RNA (432 nucleotides) under uncultured bacterium. RNAcentral's name for it is "partial 16S ribosomal RNA". It matches the Rfam family "Bacterial small subunit ribosomal RNA", at positions 29 to 506 of the family's 1533-position model. The record is from RNAcentral.
AACGAACGCUGGCGGCAGGCCUAACACAUGCAAGUCGAGCGCGCCCUUCGGGGUGAGCGGCGGACGGGUGAGUAACGCGUGGGAACGUGCCCUUUUCUACGGAAUAGCCUCGGGAAACUGAGAGUAAUACCGUAUACGCCCUUUGGGGGAAAGAUUUAUCGGAAAAGGAUCGGCCCGCGUUGGAUUAGGUAGUUGGUGGGGUAAUGGCCUACCAAGCCGACGAUCCAUAGCUGGUUUGAGAGGAUGAUCAGCCACACUGGGACUGAGACACGGCCCAGACUCCUACGGGAGGCAGCAGUGGGGAAUCUUAGACAAUGGGGGCAACCCUGAUCUAGCCAUGCCGCGGGAGUGAUGAAGGCCUUAGGGUUGUAAAGCUCUUUCAGCUGGGAAGAUAAUGACGGUACCAGCAGAAGAAGCCCCGGCGAACUCCGU